This 292-nucleotide ribosomal RNA is filed under the name uncultured bacterium. RNAcentral's name for it is "partial 16S ribosomal RNA". The record is from RNAcentral.
GGACUACACGGGUUUCUAAUCCCGUUUGCUCCCCUGGCUUUCGCACCUCAGCGUCAGAAACCAACCAGUGCACCGCUUUCGCCGCCGGCGUUCCUCCCGAUAUCAACGCAUUUCACCGCUCCACCGGGAAUUCCAUGCACCCCUUUGGUCCUCAAGCAGCGCAGUAUCGGGCGCAGUUCCUCGGUUAGGCCGAGGGAUUUCACACCCGACUUACGCCGCCGCCUACGUGCGCUUUAUGCCCAGUGAUUCCGAACAACGCUCGCCACCUUCGUCUUACCGCGGCUGCUGGCAC